UGUCUGGAAAUUUACACUAAGAAAAUAACCUAGAGGGCACACGCAUCCAGAAUAAAAAUAAAGUAAGGAAUGAGAAAGUGAACGCCGCAGACGGAAAAAGCUAUUUGCACAAAGAUGUUCAUUGCAGUGGUAUUUAUAAGAGCAAAAAAGAGGCCAGGCCUGGUGGCUCCCGCCUGUAAUCUCAGCACUCUGGGAGGCCGAGGCAGACAGAUCACGAAGUCGGGAGAUCGAGACCAUCCUGGCUAACACGGUGAAACCUUGUCUCUACUAAAAAUACAAAAAUUAGCCAGGCGUGGUGGCAGGUACCUGUAGUCCCAGCUACUCGGGAGGCUGAGGCAGGAGAAUCGCUUGAACCCGGAAGGCAGAGGUUGCAGUGAGCUGAGAUCUCACCACUGCACUCCAGCCUGGGUGACAGAGCGAGACUCCAUCUCAAAAAAAAAAAAAAAAAGUAAAAAAGAGCCUAAAUGUUCAACAGUGAAAGAAUGAUGAAAUAAAAACAAUGGUAUAUCUGCAAAAUAAGCCAUAAAAAGUGAAUUUAAGACUAUGUUUUAGGCCUGGUAAGGUGGCUAACAUCUGUAAUCCCAGGAUGCCAAGACUGGCGGAUUGCUUGAACUUAAGAGUUUGAGACUAGCCUGGCCAGCAUGGCGAAACCCCAUUUAAAAAAUAAAUAAAUAAAAUUAGCCAGGCAUAGUGGCACACACCUGUGGUCCCAGCUACUCCGGAGGCUGAGGUCGGAGGAUCGCUUAAGCCCAGGUGUGGAGGUUGCAGUGAGCUGAGGUCAUGCCACUGCACUCGAGCCUGGGUGAUGGAGCAAGACCCUGUCUCAAAGAAAAGAAGGUGUUUUAAACAAACGGGAAGAUAUCAAUGACGUUAUGCUAAGGAAAAGAAGCAGGACGUGCAGGACUCCCAGGACCAGGGCAUGAGGGAAACGUGUCAUCGUGACUGUAGGGCCUGGUGUAUAGACAGAUGUGCAUAUACAUAUUUGAUGAGCUUUGACGUCUCAUAUACAGAUGUUAGAAUUAGUGAAAUUACACACGGUCACCAUGCGCCGUUUGGUUCUCUUCCUUCUACCCUCAGUAAGGGUAGAAACAAGCAGGACAUAUAACUAUUUACAAAUCCUGAUCACAACUUUGUCAAAAAAAAAAAAAAAAAAAAAAAAAGAACAGAAGAAAGCUGGGAAAAAAUACCCCAAAGCGUGAAGAGUUUGUCUUGGGAGGUAGAAAUCCAGCUGGUUGCAUCCUGUACUUGCACGUUUUCUACAACAAGCAUGCACUGCAUUUAGAAUCAGACGAUGUAUGAUUGUAUUUGAUUAUCACUCAAACCUGAUCCCAUCACUGCUGCCCUUACAGAGCCGCGCUGGACGCAGAAUGGCCACCUGCCCUGGGGUCUCCGUCCACUCUCUGCUGCCCCCACCACGCUCAGCCUCCCACUUGCUCCUCCACCCUGACAUGCUGUCCCAACACCCCCGGCAUCUUGCAAAGCGCCUGAUGUGGUCCUUGGAGGAGCCCACCCCCGUCCACAGGGACCCUUCCUGCUCAAGACCACAGCCCAGGCCAGCUCACAGGGAACGUCCGCUGGACCAGUACCAGCCUCUAGAACGACCGGCUGGACUUGAAGCCACACAUGGCUCCGGGAUGAGCCCCUCACAGGCCUCCAACCUCCACCCCAAGGCACUAGCCCAGGAGGACCCUGCUCACGCCUCCCCGGGGAUCUGCAGCGUCACCCACCAUGGCCAUUCCUGACCUAGAUCACAGCCACUUCUAAAAGCACUGCCCGCGGCACCCCCAGCCCACCCUGGGCUUGGCUCCCAUGGCCGUGGGCUCACAACAGCCCUGGGUGCCUGGAGCCUGUGCCCCCAUGAGCUCUGCCCCCUGCUCACGCCUGUCCGGGCUCUCUGCUUGUCCAGGGUUUCUUCGGAGGCAGGGCCCAAGGCACAGGGUACUCAGGAACCCCCGCUGCAACGGCAGUCAGCCCCCAUCAGCCCAGCCUCAAAAUGCCCGGUGCCUCAGUUUCCCCAGUCUACCUGGAGGGGCAUGUCCCUCUGGUCCGACAGCUCAAGCCCCUGAGGAAGGUGAGCAGCUGACCCAUGAGGAGGGCCAUGAUUUUUUUAAUGGGAAAUAACAAGUGAGUCCUCAUGCUGCCGUGGGACCACUGCGGACCAGCCUGGUGCCUCUGGCGGGGACAGCACACAGCUCUGUGGAUACUCGGUGUCCAGACAGGCAAAUCCAGACACAGAAAGUGCGUGGGUGGCUGAGGGGAGGGGGAUGGGGAGGGACCACUGAUGGGUGCGGGGCUUCCUUCUGGGCUGAUGAGAAUGUUCUGGAACUAGAAGCAGUGGUGGUUUCCACACCUUGGUGAAUGUUCUACAAGCCCCUGAGCUGUUUGCUGUAAGAUGGUUAUUUUGUGUUAUGUGAAUUAUACCUCAAUACAUUUUUUUAAGUGAA
Molecule: long non-coding RNA, 2444 nt
Organism: Homo sapiens (human)
Lineage: Eukaryota; Metazoa; Chordata; Mammalia; Primates; Hominidae
Exons: 2
Source: RefSeq, a predicted model, not a curated record